This is a long non-coding RNA of Harpia harpyja (harpy eagle), 230 nucleotides long. RefSeq lists it as uncharacterized. NCBI's taxonomy places the organism in Eukaryota, Metazoa, Chordata, Aves, Accipitriformes, Accipitridae. The transcript has 3 exons. The record is from RefSeq and is a predicted model, not a curated record.
ACAGCAUGUGGGAAGAGCACUUGAAGUCAAGAUCCCACCUUGAAGAGCGUGUUGCUCAGCUUGACAGAGAAAAGGCUGAACUCCUGGAACAGUGUGAGACUGAAAGAAAGAAAGUGAAGAAGCUGGUAGAGUUGAAACGCCCAGUCGAACUGCGUCUGGACCAAGAAAUGAAAAGAAACAUCGAACUGCAGAAAGACUGUAAGAGGUUGAAGAAGCUUCUGAGCAGAGCU